UACAUAGGGGGCAAGCGUUAUCCGGAAUUAUUGGGUGUAAAGAGUGCGUAGACGGAGAAACAAGUUGGUUGUGAAAUCCCUCGGCUCAACCGAGGAACUGCAACCAAAACUAUUUCCCUUGAGUGUCGGAGAGGAAAGUGGAAUUCCUAGUGUAGCGGUGAAAUGCGUAGAUAUUAGGAGGAACACCAGUGGCGAAGGCGACUUUCUGGACGAUAACUGACGUUGAGGCACGAAAGUGUGGGGAGCAAACAGG
This 253-nucleotide ribosomal RNA is filed under the name uncultured bacterium. RNAcentral describes it as "partial 16S ribosomal RNA". It matches the Rfam family "Bacterial small subunit ribosomal RNA", at positions 524 to 776 of the family's 1533-position model. The record is from RNAcentral.